ACCGAAUAGAUACCCUGGUAGUCCACGCCGUAAACUAUGAACGCUAGCCGUUGGCGAGCUUGCUCGUCAGUGGCGCAGCUAACGCAUUAAGCGUUCCGCCUGGGGAGUACGGCCGCAAGGUUGAAACUCAAAGAAAUUGACGGGGGCCCGCACAAGCGGUGGAGCAUGUGGUUUAAUUCGACGCAACGCGCAGAACCUUACCAGGGUUUGACAUCCCGAGACCGCUGCUGAAAGGCAGUUUCCCGCAAGGGCUCGGAGACAGGUGCUGCAUGGCUGUCGUCAGCUCGUGUCGUGAGAUGUUGGGUUAAGUCCCGCAACGAGCGCAACCCUCGCCUUUAGUUGCCAUCAUUAAGUUGGGCACUCUAGAGGGACCGCCGGCGACAAGCCGGAGGAAGUGGGGAUGACGUCAAGUCCUCAUGGCCCUUACACCCUGGGCUACACACGUGCUACAAUGGCGGUGACAGUGAGCAGCUAACUCGCGAGAGUAUGCUAAUCUCAAAAACC
This 504-nucleotide ribosomal RNA is filed under the name uncultured bacterium. RNAcentral's name for it is "bacterial SSU rRNA". It matches the Rfam family "Bacterial small subunit ribosomal RNA", at positions 772 to 1282 of the family's 1533-position model. The record is from RNAcentral.